GACGAACGCUGGCGGCGUGCUUAACACAUGCAAGUCGAACGGAAAGGCCCUGCUCUUGUUGGGUGCUCGAGUGGCGAACGGGUGAGUAACACGUGAGUAACCUGCCCUUGACUUUGGGAUAACUUCAGGAAACUGGGGCUAAUACCGGAUAGGAGCUCCUGCUGCAUGGUGGGGGUUGGAAAGGUUCGGCGGUUGGGGAUGGACUCGCGGCUUAUCAGCUUGUUGGUGGGGUAGUGGCUUACCAAGGCUUUGACGGGUAGCCGGCCUGAGAGGGUGACCGGCCACAUUGGGACUGAGAUACGGCCCAGACGCCUACGGGAGGCAGCAGUGGGGAAUAUUGCACAAUGGGCGGAAGCCUGAUGCAGCAACGCCGCGUGCGGGAUGACGGCCUUCGGGUUGUAAACCGCUUUCGCCUGUGACGAAGCGUGAGUGACGGUAAUGGGUAAAGAAGCACCGGCUAACUACGUG
Molecule: ribosomal RNA, 468 nt
Filed under: uncultured bacterium
Lineage: Bacteria
Description: partial 16S ribosomal RNA
Rfam family: Bacterial small subunit ribosomal RNA
Source: RNAcentral